RNAcentral lists this ribosomal RNA (129 nucleotides) under Penstemon hybrid cultivar. RNAcentral's name for it is "partial 5.8S ribosomal RNA". It matches the Rfam family "5.8S ribosomal RNA", at positions 37 to 154 of the family's 154-position model. Rfam says of the family: 5.8S ribosomal RNA (5.8S rRNA) is a component of the large subunit of the eukaryotic ribosome. It is transcribed by RNA polymerase I as part of the 45S precursor that also contains 18S and 28S rRNA. The record is from RNAcentral. Lineage: Eukaryota; Viridiplantae; Streptophyta; Magnoliopsida; Lamiales; Plantaginaceae.
GCAUUUUUGAAGAACGCAGCGAAAUGCGAUACGGGGUGUGAAUUGCAGAAUGCCCGUGACCCAUCGAGUCUUUGAACRCAAAUUGCGCCCGAAGCCAUUARGCCGAGGGCACGUCUGCCUGGGCGUCAC